This 497-nucleotide ribosomal RNA is filed under the name uncultured bacterium. Its description in RNAcentral is "partial 16S ribosomal RNA". It matches the Rfam family "Bacterial small subunit ribosomal RNA", at positions 28 to 507 of the family's 1533-position model. The record is from RNAcentral.
GAUGAACGCUGGCGGCGUGCCUAAUACAUGCAAGUCGAGCGAACGGACGAGAAGCUUGCUUCUCUGAUGUUAGCGGCGGACGGGUGAGUAACACGUGUAUAACCUCCCUAUCAGACUGGGAUAACUUCGGGACACCGGAUCUAAUACCGGAUAAGAUUUUGAACCGCAUGGUUCAAAAGUGAAAGACGGUCUUGCUGUCACUUAUAGAUGGAUCCACGCUGCAUUAGCUAGUUGGUAAGGUAACGGCUUACCAAGGCAACGAUGCAUAGCCGACCUGAGAGGGUGAUCGGCCACACUGGAACUGAGACACGGUCCAGACUCCUACGGGAGGCAGCAGUAGGGAAUCUUCCGCAAUGGGCGAAAGCCUGACGGAGCAAGGCCGCGUGAGUGAUGAAGGUCUUCGGAUCGUAAAACUCUGUUAUUAGGGAAGAACAUAUGUGUAAGUAACUGUGCACAUCUUGACGGUACCUAAUCAGAAAGCCACGGCUAACUACGUG